Non-coding RNA from Myotis brandtii (Brandt's bat), 76 nucleotides. The record is from Rfam. Lineage: Eukaryota; Metazoa; Chordata; Mammalia; Chiroptera; Vespertilionidae.
GGUGAUUCUCAGGUGAUGCACCCCCGGAAUCAGGCUCCCUCCUCUCUGGUUCCAGGUGCGUCACCCGAGAACCGCA